RNAcentral lists this ribosomal RNA (497 nucleotides) under uncultured bacterium. RNAcentral describes it as "partial 16S ribosomal RNA". It matches the Rfam family "Bacterial small subunit ribosomal RNA", at positions 28 to 507 of the family's 1533-position model. The record is from RNAcentral.
GAUGAACGCUGGCGGCGUGCCUAAUACAUGCAAGUCGAGCGAACAGAUAAGGAGCUUGCUCCUUUGACGUUAGUGGCGGACGGGUGAGUAACACGUGGGUAACCUACCUAUAAGACUGGGAUAACUUCGGGAAACCGGAGCUAAUACCGGAUAAUAUUUCGAACCGCAUGGUUCGAUAGUGAAAGAUGGUUUUGCUAUCACUUAUAGAUGGACCCGCGCCGUAUUAGCUAGUUGGUAAGGUAACGGCUUACCAAGGCGACGAUACGUAGCCGACCUGAGAGGGUGAUCAGCCACACUGGAACUGAGACACGGUCCAGACUCCUACGGGAGGCAGCAGUAGGGAAUCUUCCGCAAUGGGCGAAAGCCUGACGGAGCAACGCCGCGUGAGUGAUGAAGGUCUUCGGAUCGUAAAACUCUGUUAUUAGGGAAGAACAUACGUGUAAGUAACUGUGCACGUCUUGACGGUACCUAAUCAGAAAGCCACGGCUAACUACGUG